CAAACGGCCCUUUUAAGGGCCAACAAAAUUUUGAGUUGGUCGCAUG
Octopus bimaculoides (California two-spot octopus) is the source of this 46-nucleotide non-coding RNA. Lineage: Eukaryota; Metazoa; Mollusca; Cephalopoda; Octopoda; Octopodidae. The record is from Rfam.